GACGAACCGUGCGAACGUUGUUCGGAAUCACUGGGCUUAAAGGGCGCGUAGGCGGGCUGCCGCGUCCGGGUGAAAUCCUCCCGCUCAACGGGAGAACGGCCUCGGAUACGGGCGGCCUGGAGGGGGUAGGGCAGGCGGAACGCUGGGUGGAGCGGUGAAAUGCGUAGAGAUCAUGAGGAAGACAGUGGCGAAGGCGGGUCUCUGGACAGUCCUGACACUGAGGCACGAAGCCAGGGAGCAAACGGG
Molecule: ribosomal RNA, 246 nt
Filed under: uncultured bacterium
Lineage: Bacteria
Description: partial 16S ribosomal RNA
Rfam family: Bacterial small subunit ribosomal RNA
Source: RNAcentral